AGCAAGCGAGACAAGGUGAAGCCGUCCGUGAUGGCCAACUGCAGUCAUUCUGACAACACAGCCCCAGCUCCCGCCCAUUCUCCCUUUUUUCCCUCACCAACCCAGGCAGGUGCCUUCGUCUCUCCCCGGGACUCUGGAAAAUGCCUCCUGAUUGGGUUCUCUGGCUUGGUUUCCCCUCUCUCCAAUCCACCUUGAAGCAAGCACUGUCCACAGUUUAUCUUCCACAAAUGUCCGAGCACAUGUACUGAUGCAGGGAAGGAGCCGGUGUGGGGGAGAAUUUGCAGAGAGGAGAGGUAAGUUACAAAGCAAGACCCCAGAGGAAAUGAGAAAUGUUACAAAAACUCCAUACGGAAGAGCAAGCUUUGGAAGGGAGCAUUUAUUUCUUCUCUCAAAAUUUCAAGAGAGGAGGAAAAGAGGAAGGGAGAGCGAAGAGACAUAACAACUUGAGAUUUCGAAGAAGGAAAUUUCUGCAAACUAUUCCUCUGAAUUUGAUUGUUGGUUUGCUUUGGAGCUUGGAAGUGGAGAAGGCUCAGGGCCACCCUUGUGGGAAUGAGACAGGAAAUGGCUCUGAUGAACAGAGGAACGCUGAGCAGGUCCGAGGGAGGAAAGCUGCCCAGCGCGAAUCUGUCAGGGAGCCAGCUGGCAUGGCUUCCCCGGCAACUCUGAUGAAGCCAGCGCAGAGCCCAGGGAAGCAAUGGCCCAGGGGUACAAGCUGUAAGGAGCAGUGCAGGUCUUUGGGCUCUGGGAUAUGGGGCCUGGUAUCAUUCAGGCCGCUGACCAGGCUCUGAGGGCGAUGAGGGUUGACGGACUGAGGGACUAUGGAGAGACAAAGGGAGAAGAUGUCCUGCUGAGAACCAAGAAUAGAUGUUGCAAAGGACCAGAAAGGCUGAAGAUGAGAUGAAGAUGUGUGAGCUGCGCUGGAGAGGCAGUUAGGUACUGCCAGUCUUUGGCCCGAAUGUUGCCUUCUGGUGAGCUAACCCUUCUCCCACAGCCCAGCCCAGCCCAGCCCUUCCCUUAUUAAAAGAACGAUGGUGUCUCCUAACUCCACUGUGAUGGAGCAGGCACAUGCUCCUCCUCAGCAAUGCUCCUAAGCUGUCGUUUCCCAGCACCCCAUUGGGCUGAGCAGAAUUCUCUGAGUGUUUCCUGCUAAGAGCACACAAAGUGCACUGUCCCUGAGGAUGGCCCCACUCAUCUGCCACGAGUGUCUAAAUGGAGUUAGCACUUCCUGGAGCCACAUCAGUGACCGGGUCACAUGGGCUCCCUGGCCACUCAUUCUCCCUGCUCACUGAGCCAAGGGUCCCUGUCCUGCACCUGUGUGCUGACCAACACAAGGGCAGGGUCUGACAUCCACCUCGGCAGGUUUCAGGAUUUGAGUUCUCACUCAUCAUCCUGUCCAGCUGUUAUCCUUUGUCACCGCAAACAGGGAAUGCAUUAGCCACUCGUUCUGAGUACAAAGGCCAGAGUAUCACCGAAAGAACUUCCCUCAGAGCUGAUACUGAUCUUUUAAUCCAUGCUCCUCUGUUUAUUCAGUCAGUCACAGUAAACAGACUGCAGAGCAGGACCACAGUGACGUGCACAUUCCCUGACCUGCCUGGAAUUUGCAGUUCUGGAAGAGACGGCGAUGAACGUGGUGAGAGAAGAAAUGCAGGUGCUCUGUCAUCUGUGAGGAACAGACACCCUCACUCUGCAGUAGGGACGCCCUGAGGACUGAAGUCAGUUGGAUCCGAGAAUAAAGGGUGAGCAGCACUAAGGCAGAAGAGCAGGGGAGAAGAGAGGCCUCCGAGAGGCACGCGUGAGGAAAGGAGGCACACAGCUCCAGGAGCACUGAGGGUCACAGCCAGGGGACGCAGAGGGGAGAGAAAGGUGUGGGACAAAGGGCACAGCCCUGCGAGUCACGUGGCGAGGCCACUGGAGGGCUCCUCCCGGAGGGGGGGAAGUGGUGUGUGCACACGUGAGGUCACGGUGGCCUCCCCGUGUGUGAGGUGGAGGAGAUCAGAGGAUGCAGCACAGUGCCCAGGACAGGGAAAGGAUGAGGAUGGAGCAGUGUAGACACUCACACCUUCCCGGGCAGGAAGUAACUGGACACAAGGGACAAGGAAGAGGAAGCAAUGUGGAUGGACAACUCUCAGGUUUUGGCUUGGGUGUCAAUGUCGUGAGUGGGUAGCUUCCUGGGAGGGAGCCUGCAGCGGACACAGCACUGCACCUGAGGUGGACACUGGCUUCCUUCCAAAGGGGCCUGAGAGACAGCUAUGUCCAGACAUCCAGAAAGCAGCCAGACCCGGGACUCCGGGGCACCAGGAAGAAUGAGCCAGCGACAGAGGUUCAGCUCUGCUAGCCCCAGCCCUGGCUGCAAACUGGAACCACCUGGGCGGAGAAGCAGAGUUCUGGAGAGUCCCAAGAUAGCAGGGUAUGGAUGAUCUGAUCAGAUUCCUGCACUUUAUAAGAAACUGAAGCACAGAGAGGUUUCUGUACUACGUUCAAAUGGAGGCCGCUACUGACGUCGGGACUAAGGCUAGCUCCCGCUUCUCUGUUUCGUGGCAGUGUGCUCUGCAGUCUCUCAUGGGGUCUACAAGUCAGAGAGAUGGGGAGGUGCUGGAGGAUCAGCCUUCGAAUUCUCUCAUGGCAGAUGAAGACAGUGCAGCCCAGAGAGCUGACACAGGCAUCGAAGGAGACGCCUUUUCAGUAGAUUUAGUCUUCUUUUGUUAAUUGUGGUUAGAAAUAAGGGUAUACUUUUAAUUAAAAGUGAUUAUUAAAUCAA
This is a non-coding RNA of Heterocephalus glaber (naked mole-rat), 2758 nucleotides long. The record is from RefSeq and is a predicted model, not a curated record. NCBI's taxonomy places the organism in Eukaryota, Metazoa, Chordata, Mammalia, Rodentia, Bathyergidae.